GGCGAACGCUGGCGGCGUGCUUAACACAUGCAAGUCGUACGGUAAGGCCCUUUCGGGGGUACACGAGUGGCGAACGGGUGAGUAACACGUGAGUAACCUGCCCACAACUUUGGGAUAACGCUAGGAAACUGGUGCUAAUACUGGAUAUGUGCUCCUGCUGCAUGGUGGGGGUUGGAAAGCUCCGGCGGUUGUGGAUGGACUCGCGGCCUAUCAGCUUGUUGGUGGGGUAGUGGCCUACCAAGGCGGCGACGGGUAGCCGGCCUGAGAGGGUGACCGGCCACAUUGGGACUGAGAUACGGCCCAGACUCCUACGGGAGGCAGCGGUGGGGAAUAUUGCACAAUGGGCGCAAGCCUGAUGCAGCAACGCCGCGUGCGGGAGGACGGCCUUCGGGUUGUAAACCGCGUUCAGCAGGGACGAAGCUUUUUGUGACGGUACCUGCAGAAGAAGCACCGGCUAACUACGUG
This 465-nucleotide ribosomal RNA is filed under the name uncultured bacterium. RNAcentral describes it as "partial 16S ribosomal RNA". It matches the Rfam family "Bacterial small subunit ribosomal RNA", at positions 28 to 507 of the family's 1533-position model. The record is from RNAcentral.